Molecule: long non-coding RNA, 729 nt
Filed under: Felis catus (domestic cat)
Lineage: Eukaryota; Metazoa; Chordata; Mammalia; Carnivora; Felidae
Description: lncRNA (ENSFCAG00000045235.2)
Source: RNAcentral
CUCCGGGAGCUGAUUGGCCCGUAGGAGGAGGGGUGGGCGGCGGGCGCGGGAGGAACCCUGUGGCUGGCGGUUGCCAUGGACGCUCUCGCGCCUAGUAACCACGGCUCCCUGGGAGACCUGCUGGGUCCUGGGGGUGACGGGUGAAGCGCCACUCGAGGGAGAGGCCAAGAAUUCUGGCCUGCAGGCCGUAGACUCGGUAGAUGCAACAUUGACCUUCAACUCAUCAACACACCCCUGUGAGGAAGGUACUGCAGCCCAGCACACAUCCAUACCUGCUGAAGACCUGGGGAGUCGCUUUCUGUAACAACAGGACCAGGAGGAAUUUUUGUAUCUCUCUUGUAUCUCCCUCCCCGGGCCUGGGAGACGCAUCGCCAGCAUCCUUCGAUGACUCCCCCACACCCCAGAGGCCUGUGAGCAUUCACCUCGGAGCUUCAUUUCUGCUUCCACACACAGUACUUCUGGGUGAGCCCAGCACAGCUCCAAGUUUCCCUGCGGAAGAGUCUUCAAGAUUAAAAACAAAAACACAAAAGCAGAGGCGCCUGGCUGGUUCAGUCGGUUAAGCGUCUGACUUCGGCUCGGGUCAUGAUCUCGCGGGUUCGUGCUCGGAGCCUGGAGCCUGCUUCGGUUCUGUGUCUCCCUCUCUCUCUGCCCCUCCCCCACGUACAUGCUGUCUCUCUCUCUCUCUCUCUCUUUCUCAAAAAUAAAUAAACAUUAAAAAAAAAAAAAGCA